UAGGGAAUCUUCCACAAUGGACGCAAGUCUGAUGGAGCAACGCCGCGUGAGUGAAGAAGGUUUUCGGACCGUAAAGCUCUGUUGUUGGUGAAGAAGGAUAGAGGUAGUAACUGGCCUUUAUUUGACGGUAAUCAACCAGAAAGUCACGGCUAACUACGUGCCAGCAGCCGCGGUAAUACGUAGGUGGCAAGCGUUGUCCGGAUUUAUUGGGCGUAAAGCGAGCGCAGGCGGAAGAAUAAGUCUGAUGUGAAAGCCCUCGGCUUAACCGAGGAAUUGCAUCGGAAACUGUUUUCUUGAGUGCAGAAGAGGAGAGUAGAACUCCAUGUGUAGCGGUGGAAUGCGUAGAUAUAUGGAAGAAUACCAGUGGCGAAGGCGGCUCUCUGGUCUGCAACUGACGCUGAGGCUCGAAAAGCAUGGGUAGCGAACAGGAUUAGAUACCCUGGUAGUCCAUGCCGUAAACGAUGAGUGCUAAGUGUUGGGAGGCUUCCGCCUCUCAGUGCUGCAGCUAACGCAUUAAGCACUCCGCCUGGGGGAGUACGACCGCAA
This 546-nucleotide ribosomal RNA is filed under the name uncultured bacterium. Its description in RNAcentral is "partial 16S ribosomal RNA". It matches the Rfam family "Bacterial small subunit ribosomal RNA", at positions 355 to 891 of the family's 1533-position model. The record is from RNAcentral.